This 74-nucleotide transfer RNA is filed under the name Rhodospirillaceae bacterium. Its description in RNAcentral is "tRNA-Arg". It matches the Rfam family "tRNA". Rfam says of the family: Transfer RNA (tRNA) molecules are approximately 80 nucleotides in length. Their secondary structure includes four short double-helical elements and three loops (D, anti-codon, and T loops). Further hydrogen bonds mediate the characteristic L-shaped molecular structure. tRNAs have two regions of fundamental functional importance: the anti-codon, which is responsible for specific mRNA codon recognition, and the 3' end, to which the tRNAs corresponding amino acid is attached (by aminoacyl-tRNA synthetases). tRNAs cope with the degeneracy of the genetic code in two manners: having more than one tRNA (with a specific anti-codon) for a particular amino acid; and 'wobble' base-pairing, i.e. permitting non-standard base-pairing at the 3rd anti-codon position. The record is from RNAcentral. Lineage: Bacteria; Pseudomonadati; Pseudomonadota; Alphaproteobacteria; Rhodospirillales; Rhodospirillaceae.
GCCCCCUUGGCGUAAUUGGAUAGCGCACCGGACUUCUAAUCCGGGGGUUGCGGGUUCAAGUCCCGCAGGGGGUG